AUUGAACGCUGGCGGCAUGCUUUACACAUGCAAGUCGAACGGUAACAGGCCUUCGGGUGCUGACGAGUGGCGAACGGGUGAGUAAUGCAUCGGAACGUACCCAGAGGUGGGGGAUAACGCAGCGAAAGCUGUGCUAAUACCGCAUGUGAUCUGAGGAUGAAAGCGGGGGACCGAGCAGCAAUGUUUGGCCUCGCGCCUUUGGAGCGGCCGAUGUCGGAUUAGCUAGUUGGUGGGGUAAAGGCCUACCUAGGCGACGUUCCGUAGCUGGUCUGAGAGGACGAUCUGCCACACUGGGACUGAGACGCGGACCAGACUCCUACGGGAGGCAGAAGUGUGGAAGUUUGGACAAUGGGCGCAUGCCUGAUACAGUAAUGGCGGGUGCGGGAAGAAAGCCUUCGGGUUUUAAACCGCUUUUGGCAGGAACGAAACGGUGUCCGCAAAUACCGGGCGCUAAUGACGGUACCUGCAGAAUGAGCACCGACUAGCUACGUG
RNAcentral lists this ribosomal RNA (492 nucleotides) under uncultured bacterium. Its description in RNAcentral is "partial 16S ribosomal RNA". It matches the Rfam family "Bacterial small subunit ribosomal RNA", at positions 30 to 507 of the family's 1533-position model. The record is from RNAcentral.